RNAcentral lists this ribosomal RNA (537 nucleotides) under uncultured bacterium. Its description in RNAcentral is "bacterial SSU rRNA". It matches the Rfam family "Bacterial small subunit ribosomal RNA", at positions 102 to 674 of the family's 1533-position model. The record is from RNAcentral.
ACGGGUGAGUAACGCGUGGGAACGUGCCUUUCGGUUCGGAAUAACUCAGGGAAACUUGAGCUAAUACCGGAUACGCCCUUAGGGGGAAAGAUUUAUUGCCGAAAGAUCGGCCCGCGUCCGAUUAGCUAGUUGGUGAGGUAAAGGCUCACCAAGGCGACGAUCGGUAGCUGGUCUGAGAGGAUGAUCAGCCACACUGGGACUGAGACACGGCCCAGACUCCUACGGGAGGCAGCAGGGGGGAAUAUUGGACAAUGGGCGCAAGCCUGAUUCAGCCAUGCCGCGUGAGUGAUGAAGGCCUUAGGGUUGUAAAGCUCUUUCGCCAGGGACGAUAAUGACGGUACCUGGAUAAGAAGCCCCGGCUAACUUCGUGCCAGCAGCCGCGGUAAUACGAAGGGGGCUAGCGUUGUUCGGAAUCACUGGGCGUAAAGCGCACGUAGGCGGAUUGUUAAGUCAGGGGUGAAAUCCCGAGGCUCAACCUCGGAACUGCCUUUGAUACUGGCGAUCUAGAGUCCGGGAGAGGUGAGUGGAACUGCGAGU